GAUCUUGGAAGAAAAAAAUGCAUCAAACAUUUUUAUUUAGAACCAGCGAGCAGUCGAAUGAGACAAUACAGUCAUACAAGGGUAUGGCAACACUCAAUUUUCAAACUUUGCAAUGUUAAGUUUAUUUUAAUUCUCCGAUAAAAAAAAAGUUCAUAUGUCAAAUAAAACUUAUAAUACUAAGCCAGGCUAACUCGUUCAUUGCCCAGCCUUAAAAGUGGCACAUAAUGGACUAAUAAAGAGCCUACAAGUGACAUAAUUACCGAGAAGCUUAACACCACAAGAUUCAAAAGUCUUCUUUACUUUAAACUUCGUGUCAAGUCAAAACCAGGCAAACAAAUUGAAACGGAGGGAGCAUUAUAUUAAUUUGAAUAGUGAAUCUACUGAACAUGAGCAGAUGGGAAUUCCAAGGUCAACAGAGGCAACGUAUGACAAUUUGUUGGAGCAUUAUGUGGCACAAGCUGCUCAUAAAAUAACCUUUUUGCUGAUGAAAAUAGUACAAAAGAUGCACAUGCUGAGUCUCCUAUAAAUUGGUAUAAGUCUUCAUUAGAAUGAUCAGUAAUUUAAAAACAAUACUUAAUUCAAUACACCUAAAAGUGCAAAGAACAAAGUAGAAACAAAUAAUCAAGGAAGAGAACUCCUAGGAGAAAACACUUAUUUUGAGGGAAUCACAAGGGAACUACAAUAACAAGAACAGAUAACAAAUUUCUACCUAGACUAUUCCCUCCAUAUCAUAGUAAGGCUAGUGACUCCAUGAGAUUGUAUUCUAUAUAAACCCUUUGCAAAAAUAUGAAAAAAUGUUCAAAAUAACCACGUCGACAUCACAUGCACACACAUAGACAGUGAAAAACUCACCUCACUAUCCAAACACCUUUAGAAAGAAUAGAAUGGCCACUGGAGCAGCUGCAAUGAUGCUUCAGUGUGUCUUUGACGGAAGCUUGUCCAUGUCAGAUAUGGAUAUCGAGAGAUGACCUUGCCAUAAAAACUGCAGUUGUGCAUUGCACAAACAGAAGGGCCGGGGAUAUAUCACAGCCAAGCACUUGUGUCCAUAGUAGGAAUAUAUCAUUCCCCAAAAGGCAAAUCUGGAAAGAUAUGAUUUUGUCAAUAGAAACUCCCAAAUUCACUUCUCCAUCUUCAUCGUCUUGAGAUAAUUAAUCAGUUGGGAGUGUACAGCAUACAGCUCCAAUGUUAGCUAGUAGUUGAUAGAUUUUCCUUUGUACAUUCUGGUAAGUACAUGUAUACUUCAGUAUCCGCUUCAUAGGUGAUGCAAAUUUACAAAAGAAAGAAAUGCAACUUGUUUUCUUUCUUUCCAGGAUUCAAAAGAUUUUAACUUUAGCGAACACUGAGAAUGCAGCAUUUGAAUUCACAUUGUACACGUUCGUUAGUAGAAUUAGUUUUUGUUCACUAACAGAGUUUGUACACUGAUUCUAAACUUACCAUCACUUCAUCUUUCACAUUCUUUUCUUCUGUCCUGUUAGGCUCCCAUAGUCCCCGAAAUUAGUCCACUGGUUUGUUAUUUACACUUCUCUCAUCCUCAUUGUUUAACAAAUUCUGUUCCUCGUAGUCUAUUAAAUUUCGUUAUUUCACUAAGACAAAUGGUUUGUUCAUAGUUCAUUCUGCGUCAUCAGUAAAGUCAAAGGGAAUAAUGUCGGAAUGGCCUACUUCUAUGUCUUUUCUGAACUUACAUUGCCAUUCACAAUAUACAAGGAAAUACUUUGUAAGCCUUUUCUAAAUCAUCUGUCACUUUCACCAGAUCUGUUUACUACUCAUCCAAAUGGAUUUGUAACGUGUUUUCAACUGCUCUUUAAAUAUAUGCAAGGGUUAAUACCAAAAGCAUCCAAGAUAGAGAAAUCAAAAAAGCAACUCAGUGCACUAAGCUUCUACUGAGUAGGGUCACAGUCUUACCUUGCAUUUCUGCAAAGAGGUUAUCUCCACAGCUCGAACCCAUGACCUCACAUAGCAGUAACUUUACCAAUUACGCCAAGCUCCCCUUCUCAAGAUGGAAAAGCUAUGUCAAUAUUUGCACAAAAGUCUUAUCAUUCAGGGUCUACAGCCAUCAAUAAUGCAGUUGAACUUGUAUGGAAACCCCACCACUUGAAGGGCCAGAGAAGGUUUGUAAUUUUGGUAUAUUUUGUAUAUCUUUAGUUUAAGACCGCAAGAUUCAAAAGUCUUCUUUAAUUUCUUGAAUUUCGUGCCAAAUCAAAACCAGACAA
This 2210-nucleotide long non-coding RNA is filed under the name Solanum tuberosum (potato). RNAcentral's name for it is "long non-coding RNA (STUB_LNC006985)". The record is from RNAcentral. Lineage: Eukaryota; Viridiplantae; Streptophyta; Magnoliopsida; Solanales; Solanaceae.